Folsomia candida is the source of this 776-nucleotide long non-coding RNA. RefSeq lists it as uncharacterized. The transcript has 2 exons. The record is from RefSeq and is a predicted model, not a curated record. NCBI's taxonomy places the organism in Eukaryota, Metazoa, Arthropoda, Collembola, Entomobryomorpha, Isotomidae.
UGUCCAUUGCUACGGGGAGGGGGCGUGGGGACACCACCACCGUGGGGGAGGUUCGCGUGACCAAUUCCGUUCAUCUAUACGCAACUAAUAUUCAGAGGAGAAACAUUCAUUCAUUCAAAAACAGCCAAAAAAUUCAUUCAAUUCAAACACUUAAAGAUCGUCGUCAUCGUCAUCAUUAAACAACAAAGUGGACCUGGAUUAUUUAUGUGUUUUGUCUGAUUGUGCAAUUUAUGCAGCGAUGCUGGUGGUAUAAUCUCAGGGUGAAAUCAGAUCAUCAAAAUUAUUAUCUUGUAACAAGAUCCAGCUCGAAUUACGUUGAGUAUAACUUUUGGGAAUAAUAAAGUCGUAAAUUUUACGACCUUUGUCUUUACACAAAGUUGAAUAAAAAUAGGGGUGGAAUGUUGAGUGAGAUAAGAUGACUAAUUCAGUCCUUUUAGUUAUAUAAGUUUUAGUCGAAAAAAAUACGGGGGGUGGAUGAUGGUCAUUCGAGAUUGUUGACGUCGUCAUUUCUGACUGGACAGUGAAGGAUUGUUUUGUCUAAAUCGUAAUCAUUUUUAUGUACUUGAUUGAGAUUGGGCGAGGAGAGAAAAAUUAAAUUAAUAAUUUUUUAUAAAUUACGUCCAGUAACCAAGUAGCAAAAUGUAUAACAGAUUAUCAUAUUUUUAAAAAUAAGCAAUGAUUGUGAUUUCCAAAAUCUUUGUACAUGCCUGAUGAAGAUGACUGUGGGUCACUGAAAGCUAGCAAUUUUUCAAUAAAUCAAGUAUUAUCCUCGAAAA